GAUAAAGUGGCUGAAUAAUAGGCGAUAGAUUGUAAAUCUUUUCAUGAGGUAGACUCCUUUAUCA
Molecule: transfer RNA, 64 nt
Filed under: Turanogryllus eous
Lineage: Eukaryota; Metazoa; Arthropoda; Insecta; Orthoptera; Gryllidae
Description: tRNA-Tyr
Rfam family: tRNA
About the family: Transfer RNA (tRNA) molecules are approximately 80 nucleotides in length. Their secondary structure includes four short double-helical elements and three loops (D, anti-codon, and T loops).
Source: RNAcentral